CCUACGGGUGGCAGCAGUGGGGGAUAUUGCACAAUGGGGGAAACCCUGAUGCAGCGACGCCGCGUGGGUGAAGAAGUAUUUCGGUAUGUAAAGCCCUAUCAGCAGGGAAGAAAGAAGACGGUACCUGACUAAGAAGCCCCGGCUAACUACGUGCCAGCAGCCGCGGUAAUACGUAGGGGGCGAGCGUUAUCCGGAUUCACUGGGUGUAAAGGGAGCGUAGACGGCCGUGCAAGCCAGGAGUGAAAGCCCGGGGCCCAACCCCGGGACUGCUCUUGGAACUGUGCGGCUGGAGUGCGGGAGGGGCAGGCGGAAUUCCUGGUGUAGCGGUGAAAUGCGUAGAUAUCAGGAGGAACACCGGCGGCGAAGGCGGCCUGCUGGACCGCGACUGACGUUGAGGCUCGAAAGCGUGGGGAGCGAACAGGGUUAGAUACCCGUGUAGUC
RNAcentral lists this ribosomal RNA (441 nucleotides) under uncultured bacterium. RNAcentral describes it as "partial 16S ribosomal RNA". It matches the Rfam family "Bacterial small subunit ribosomal RNA", at positions 338 to 795 of the family's 1533-position model. The record is from RNAcentral.